This 253-nucleotide ribosomal RNA is filed under the name uncultured bacterium. RNAcentral's name for it is "partial 16S ribosomal RNA". It matches the Rfam family "Bacterial small subunit ribosomal RNA", at positions 524 to 776 of the family's 1533-position model. The record is from RNAcentral.
UACGUAGGGUGCAAGCGUUGUCCGGAAUUAUUGGGCGUAAAGAGCUCGUAGGCGGUCUGUCGCGUCGAAUGUGAAAACCCGGGGCUCAACCCCGGGCCUGCAUUCGAUACGGGCAGACUAGAGUUCGGUAGGGGAGUCUGGAAUUCCUGGUGUAGCGGUGAAAUGCGCAGAUAUCGGGAGGAACACCAAUGGCGAAGGCAGCUCGCUGGGACGGUACUGACGCUGAGGCGCGAAAGCGUGGGGAGCAAACAGG